CUUGGUGUCUCGAGCGGUGGGGGUACACCUGUUCCCAUCCCGAACACAGCAGUUAAGCCCACCAGCGCCGAUGGUAGUACCUUUUAAAAGGUGCAAGAGUAGGUCGACGCCAAGA
This 115-nucleotide ribosomal RNA is filed under the name Candidatus Peregrinibacteria bacterium CG10_big_fil_rev_8_21_14_0_10_49_10. Lineage: Bacteria; Candidatus Peregrinibacteriota. The record is from RNAcentral.